RNAcentral lists this ribosomal RNA (492 nucleotides) under uncultured bacterium. RNAcentral's name for it is "partial 16S ribosomal RNA". It matches the Rfam family "Bacterial small subunit ribosomal RNA", at positions 29 to 507 of the family's 1533-position model. The record is from RNAcentral.
AGUGAACGCUGGCGGUAGGCCUAACACAUGCAAGUCGAACGGCAGCACAGUAAGAGCUUGCUCUUACGGGUGGCGAGUGGCGGACGGGUGAGGAAUACAUCGGAAUCUACUUUUUCGUGGGGGAUAACGUAGGGAAACUUACGCUAAUACCGCAUACGACCUACGGGUGAAAGCAGGGGAUCUUCGGACCUUGCGCGAUUGAAUGAGCCGAUGUCGGAUUAGCUAGUUGGCGGGGUAAAGGCCCACCAAGGCGACGAUCCGUAGCUAGUCUGAGAGGAUGAUCAGCCACACUGGAACUGAGACACGGUCCAGACUCCUACGGGAGGCAGCAGUGGGGAAUAUUGGACAAUGGGCGCAAGCCUGAUCCAGCCAUACCGCGUGGGUGAAGAAGGCCUUCGGGUUGUAAAGCCCUUUUGUUGGGAAAGAAGAGCAGCAGGUUAAUACCCCGCUGUUCUGACGGUACCCAAAGAAUAAGCACCGGCUAACUUCGUG